ACGGGUGAGUAACGCGUGGGAAUCUACCCUAAAGCGGGGGAUAACCCGGGGAAACUCGGGCUAAUACCGCAUAAUCUCUACGGAGUAAAGGGGGCCUCUAUUUAUAAGCUCUCACUUUAGGAGGAGCCCGCGUCGGAUUAGCUAGUUGGUAGGGUAAAGGCCUACCAAGGCGAUGAUCCGUAGCUGGUCUGAGAAGAUGAACAGCCACACUGGGACUGAGACACGGCCCAGACUCCUACGGGAGGCAGCAGUGGGGAAUAUUGGACAAUGGGCGCAAGCCUGAUCCAGCAAUGCCGCGUGUGUGAAGAAGGCCUUUGGGUUGUAAAGCACUUUCGGUAGGGAGGAAACGUUACGUGUUAAUAUCACGUAAAAUUGACGUUACCUAUAUAAGAAGCACCGGCUAACUCUGUGCCAGCAGCCGCGGUAAGACAGAGGGUGCAAGCGUUAAUCGGAAUUAUUGGGCGUAAAGGGCCUGUAGGUGGUUGAUUAAGUCGGUUGUGAAAACCAUGGGCUUAACCUGUGGCUGUCAUCCGAGACUGAUCGACUAGAGUUGAGUAGAGGAGAGUGGAAUUUCCGGUG
Molecule: ribosomal RNA, 579 nt
Filed under: uncultured bacterium
Lineage: Bacteria
Description: bacterial SSU rRNA
Rfam family: Bacterial small subunit ribosomal RNA
Source: RNAcentral